UUAGCCAAACUGCCACUGGUGACACCUCACACUCAGUGCCGGUUAAAAUUACUGAAGUUAGAGAGAAUUAAAGACUAUCUUCUCAUGGAGGAAGAAUUCAUUAGAAAUCAGGAACAAAUGAAACCAUUAGAAGAAAAGCAAGAGGAGGAAAGAUCAAAAGUGGAUGAUCUGAGGGGGACCCCGAUGUCAGUAGGAACCUUGGAAGAGAUCAUUGAUGACAAUCAUGCCAUCGUGUCUACAUCUGUGGGCUCAGAACACUACGUCAGCAUUCUUUCAUUUGUAGACAAGGAUCUGCUGGAACCUGGCUGCUCGGUCCUGCUCAAUCACAAGGUGCAUGCUGUGAUAGGGGUGCUGAUGGAUGACACGGAUCCCCUGGUCACAGUGAUGAAGGUGGAAAAGCCCCCCCCAGGAGACCUAUGCGGAUAUUGGGGGGUUGGACAACCAAAUUCAGGAAAUUAAGGAAUCUGUGGAGCUUCCUCUCACCCAUCCUGAAUAUUAUGAAGAGAUGGGUAUAAAGCCUCCUAGGGGGUCAUUCUCUAUGGUCCACCUGGCACAGGUAAAACCUUGUUAGCCAAAGCUGUAGAAAUCUAUUAUUUUACAAAAAUUUCUGUUACCUUUAGAGUACAUAGGUAG
Molecule: RNA transcript, 633 nt
Organism: Piliocolobus tephrosceles (Ugandan red Colobus)
Lineage: Eukaryota; Metazoa; Chordata; Mammalia; Primates; Cercopithecidae
Gene name: 26S proteasome regulatory subunit 4 pseudogene
Exons: 1
Source: RefSeq, a predicted model, not a curated record